Molecule: ribosomal RNA, 505 nt
Filed under: uncultured bacterium
Lineage: Bacteria
Description: partial 16S ribosomal RNA
Rfam family: Bacterial small subunit ribosomal RNA
Source: RNAcentral
GACGAACGCUGGCGGCGUGCCUAAUACAUGCAAGUAGAACGCACAGUUUAUACCGUAGCUUGCUACACCAUAGACUGUGAGUUGCGAACGGGUGAGUAACGCGUAGGUAACCUGCCUGGUAGCGGGGGAUAACUAUUGGAAACGAUAGCUAAUACCGCAUAAUAUUAAUUAUUGCAUGAUAAUUAAUUGAAAGGUGCAAUUGCACCACUACCAGAUGGACCUGCGUUGUAUUAGCUAGUAGGUGAGGUAACGGCUCACCUAGGCGACGAUACAUAGCCGACCUGAGAGGGUGAUCGGCCACACUGGGACUGAGACACGGCCCAGACUCCUACGGGAGGCAGCAGUAGGGAAUCUUCGGCAAUGGACGAAAGUCUGACCGAGCAACGCCGCGUGAGUGAAGAAGGGUUUCGGAUCGUAAAGCUCUGUUGUAAGAGAAGAACGGGUGUGAGAGUGGAAAGUUCACACUGUGACGGUAUCUUACCAGAAAGGGACGGCUAACUACGUG